Molecule: ribosomal RNA, 406 nt
Filed under: uncultured bacterium
Lineage: Bacteria
Description: partial 16S ribosomal RNA
Rfam family: Bacterial small subunit ribosomal RNA
Source: RNAcentral
AUUGAACGCUGGCGGCAGGCCUAACACAUGCAAGUCGAACGAGUGGCGGACGGGUGAGUAAUGUCUGGGAAACUGCCUGAUGGAGGGGGAUAACUACUGGAAACGGUAGCUAAUACCGCAUACCAUCGGAUGUGCCCAGAUGGGAUUAGCUAGUAGGUGGGGUAAAGGCUCACCUAGGCGAAGAUCCCUAGCUGGUCUGAGAGGAUGACGAGCCAUACUGGAACGGAGACACGGCCCAGAUGGCUAUGGGAGGCAGCAGAGGGGAAUAUUGGACAAAGGGGGCAAGCCUGAUAGACACAUGCCGCGUGUAUGAAGAAGGCCUUCGGGUUGUAAAGUAAUGUCAGCGGGGAUGCGUUACCUGCAGAAGAAGCCCCGGCUAACUACGUGCCAGCAGCCGCGGUAAUAC